RNAcentral lists this ribosomal RNA (484 nucleotides) under uncultured bacterium. Its description in RNAcentral is "partial 16S ribosomal RNA". It matches the Rfam family "Bacterial small subunit ribosomal RNA", at positions 30 to 507 of the family's 1533-position model. The record is from RNAcentral.
AUUGAACGCUGGCGGCAUGCCUAACACAUGCAAGUCGAGCGGAUGAAGGCAGCUUGCUCCUGGCUUCUGCGGCGGACGGGUGUGUUAUUCCUACGAAUCUCCCUUGUUGUGGGGUAUAACGUCCGUAAACGGGCUCUUAUCCCGCAUACGCUCUGAUUGAGAACGGGGGGGUUCUUCGGACCUUUUGCUUUCUGAUGUUUCUAGUUGCGAUUUGCUAGUUGGUUGGGUAAAGGCCUAACAAGGCGACGAUCCGUAGCUGGUCUGAGAGGCUGAUCAGUCAAACUGGAACUGAGACAAGGUCCAGAGUACUACGGGAGGCAGCAGUGGGGAAUAUUGGACAAUGGGCGAAAGCCUGAUCCAGGAAUGCCGCGUGUGGGAAGAAGGUCUUCGGAUUGUAAAGCACUUUUAGUUGGGAGGAAAGGGAGUAAGAUAAUACCGUGCUGUAAUGACGGUACCAACAGAAUAAGCACCGGCUAACUACGUG